GGGGUUGUGGCUCAGUGGUAGAGCACUCGCCUUGCACAUGUGAAGCACUGGGUUUGAUCCCCAGCACCG
This 69-nucleotide transfer RNA is filed under the name Ictidomys tridecemlineatus (thirteen-lined ground squirrel). Its description in RNAcentral is "Spermophilus tridecemlineatus (thirteen-lined ground squirrel) tRNA". It matches the Rfam family "tRNA". From Rfam's summary of the family: Transfer RNA (tRNA) molecules are approximately 80 nucleotides in length. The record is from Rfam by way of RNAcentral. Lineage: Eukaryota; Metazoa; Chordata; Mammalia; Rodentia; Sciuridae.